UACGGAGGAUCCUAGCGUUAUCCGGAUUUACUGGGUUUAAAGGGUGCGUAGGCGGGCGUUUAAGUCCGCGGUGAAAGUCUGCGGCUCAACCGUAGGAUUGCCGUGGAUACUGGACGUCUUGGAUUCGGUCGGGGCGGGCGGAAUGCGUGGUGUAGCGGUGAAAUGCAUAGAUAUCACGCAGAACGCCGAUAGCGAAGGCAGCUCGCUGGGCCGAAAUCGACGCUGAGGCACGAAAGCGUGGGGAUCAAACAGG
RNAcentral lists this ribosomal RNA (253 nucleotides) under uncultured bacterium. Its description in RNAcentral is "partial 16S ribosomal RNA". It matches the Rfam family "Bacterial small subunit ribosomal RNA", at positions 524 to 776 of the family's 1533-position model. The record is from RNAcentral.